This 261-nucleotide ribosomal RNA is filed under the name uncultured archaeon. Its description in RNAcentral is "partial 16S ribosomal RNA". It matches the Rfam family "Archaeal small subunit ribosomal RNA", at positions 748 to 1009 of the family's 1478-position model. The record is from RNAcentral.
CAGCCGUAAACUAUGCGCGUUAGGUGUAUCGGUGACCACGAGUUACCGAGGUGCCGAAGGGAAACCGUGAAACGUGCCGCCUGGGAAGUACGGUCGCAAGGCUGAAACUUAAAGGAAUUGGCGGGGAGGCACCACAACAGGUGGAGCCUGCGGUUUAAUUGGACUCAACGCCGGGAAGCUCACCGGAUAGGACAGCAGAAUGAUUGCCGGGCUGAAGACCCUGCAUGACUAGCUGAGAGGAGGUGCAUGGCGUAGACGUCU